This 468-nucleotide ribosomal RNA is filed under the name uncultured bacterium. Its description in RNAcentral is "partial 16S ribosomal RNA". It matches the Rfam family "Bacterial small subunit ribosomal RNA", at positions 28 to 507 of the family's 1533-position model. The record is from RNAcentral.
GACGAACGCUGGCGGCGUGCUUAACACAUGCAAGUCGAACGGAAAGGCCCUGCUUUUGUGGGGUGCUCGAGUGGCGAACGGGUGAGUAACACGUGAGUAACCUGCCCUUGACUUUGGGAUAACUUCAGGAAACUGGGGCUAAUACCGGAUAGGAGCUCCUGCUGCAUGGUGGGGGUUGGAAAGUUUCGGCGGUUGGGGAUGGACUCGCGGCUUAUCAGCUUGUUGGUGGGGUAGUGACUUACCAAGGCUUUGACGGGUAGCCGGCAUGAGAGGGUGACCGGCCACAUUGGGACUGAGAUACGGCCCAGACUCCUACGGGAGGCAGCAGUGGGGAAUAUUGCACAAUGGGCGGAAGCCUGAUGCAGCAACGCCGCGUGCGGGAUGACGGCCUUCGGGUUGUAAACCGCUUUCGCCUGUGACGAAGCGUGAGUGACGGUAAUGGGUAAAGAAGCACCGGCUAACUACGUG